GGGCUCCAUACCAAUUGCUCUGCACAAGCUUUUAUGGCUCUUUCAGCUGCACUCAGCUUUGAUUGUGCCUGAUCAAAAUGCACAUGGCCAGCGUUGAUAAUCACUGAUGAUCAGGAGCUUUUAGGAAGCAAAUGACGGGGCCAGCGCUCGCUUGAUGGAUCAGGUCAUUAGGAGCAGCUGUUUCCCUCCUUGACUUGCUUUUUGAAGGGAAAUUGUGUUGUCGUUCUUUCUCCUGCCCCUCUGGGAAACUGUGUGAAGGGGCACAAAAGGAAGGGCAUUGGCUCAGUUCAUGAAAAUGAACCUCAGACUCCUCUGAGUUUGACCCUAUGGGGCAACAGUGCUCACUUUUUGCUAUUUCUGUCCCUCAGACCCUCCUCCCAGGUUAUCUCCAUUCCAACUCACAUUCCUUGGGUUUGAAGAGAAAUGAGCUCCUUGACUGACUUCUGGACAGGAAGUUUGGCUUCAGCAUUCAUGCUCCAGGCUCUCCCUGUGUGUUAUUUCCUUAAAAGCUAAAAAAGGGGCUUCUGGGCCAAAAAUAUGUCUCAUCAUUGUGAUAUGAACUGUAAGUCUGAACAAUGCAAAAAAGUAACCCAGAGAGUCAAUACCCCCUGUCACCAACUGCUCAUGAUACCCCUGUGCUCAGGAUCCCAAGAAAAACCAGCAGUAAACCAGAAAACAGCUUUUUCCACAUGGAAGUGGGGCUGCUUUGGAGCUGGCCCUUUCUGACUGGAGAAUACCUGGCUCCUUGGGCUCCGAGACAGCUGCGAAGUUGCGGGGAGGCUGCGGGAACAGUUCAUUAUCCAGGGCUGGGUGAAGGCGGGAGGCAGAGUUUCCCACUCCG
This is a long non-coding RNA of Passer domesticus (house sparrow), 841 nucleotides long. RefSeq lists it as uncharacterized. NCBI's taxonomy places the organism in Eukaryota, Metazoa, Chordata, Aves, Passeriformes, Passeridae. The transcript has 3 exons. The record is from RefSeq and is a predicted model, not a curated record.